GCCCCGUCAGCUCAAUUGGCAGGAGCGCCGGAUUGUCGAUCCGGAGGCCGCGGGUUCGAAUCCCGCACGGGGCGCCA
This 77-nucleotide transfer RNA is filed under the name Burkholderiales bacterium. Its description in RNAcentral is "tRNA-Asp". It matches the Rfam family "tRNA". Rfam says of the family: Transfer RNA (tRNA) molecules are approximately 80 nucleotides in length. Their secondary structure includes four short double-helical elements and three loops (D, anti-codon, and T loops). Further hydrogen bonds mediate the characteristic L-shaped molecular structure. tRNAs have two regions of fundamental functional importance: the anti-codon, which is responsible for specific mRNA codon recognition, and the 3' end, to which the tRNAs corresponding amino acid is attached (by aminoacyl-tRNA synthetases). tRNAs cope with the degeneracy of the genetic code in two manners: having more than one tRNA (with a specific anti-codon) for a particular amino acid; and 'wobble' base-pairing, i.e. permitting non-standard base-pairing at the 3rd anti-codon position. The record is from RNAcentral. Lineage: Bacteria; Pseudomonadati; Pseudomonadota; Betaproteobacteria; Burkholderiales.